GUAUGCAAGUCGAACGAUUUUGUAGCAAUACAAAGUAGUGGCAGACGGGUGAGGAAUACGCAAGAAUCUACCCUUUACUCGCGAAUAACUGACCGAAAGGUUGGCUAAUACGCGAUGAGGCCCACGGGUCAAAGGACUUAACGGUCCGGUGGAGGAGGAGCUUGCGUCCUAUCAGCUAGUUGGCGGGGUAAUAGCCCACCAAGGCUCUGACGGGUAUCUGGAGUGAGAGGUCGGCCAGACACAGGGGCACUGAGACACGGGCUCCACACCUACGGGUGGCAGCAACCAGGAAUAUUGGGCAAUGGACGAAAGUCUGACCCAGCGACACCGCGUGGAGGAUGAAGGCUCUAGGGUUGUAAACUCCUUUUAAUUCCCUCUUCACGGGGAAUAGAAUAAGCCUCUACUAACUACGUGCCAGAAGUCUCGGUAAUGCGUAGGAGGCAAGCGUUAUCCGGAAUUAUUGGGCGUAAAGGGUGCGUAGGCGGUCUUUCAAGUCGCAACUUAAAUGCUAUGGCUUAACCAUAGAACAGGUUGCGAUACUGAUUGACUCUGAGGAUUGUUCGGGGCAUCGGGAACAGUUGGUGUAGUGGUGAAAUACGUUGAUAUCAACUGGAACACCGAAGGCGAAGGCAGAUGCCUGGAAUUUUCCUGACGCUGANGCACGAAAGCUAGGGUAGCGAAACAGAUUAGAGACCCUGUGUAGUCCUAGCUGUAAACAAUCUCCGCUAGAUUCGGAUCGCAAGACCCGAGUCGAAGUUAACACAUUUAAGCGGAGCGCCUGGGGAGUACGGCCGCAGGCUAAAACUCAAAUGAAUUGACGGAAAUCACUA
This 830-nucleotide ribosomal RNA is filed under the name uncultured bacterium. RNAcentral describes it as "bacterial SSU rRNA". It matches the Rfam family "Bacterial small subunit ribosomal RNA", at positions 53 to 925 of the family's 1533-position model. The record is from RNAcentral.